GUGAAAGGUCAAUCAAACCCGGUGAUAGCUGGUUCUCCCCGAAAUAUAUUGAGGUAUAGCCUCGGGAAUUGAUUAGCGGAGGUAAAGCACUGACAGAGCUAGGGGUCCUACCAGAUUACCAAACUCUAUCAAACUCAGAAUGCCGCUUAAUUGUAUCCCGGGAGUCAGACGGCGGGUGCGAAGGUUCGUCGUCAAAAGGGAAACAGCCCAGACCAACAGCUAAGGUCUCCAAAUCCAUGCUCAGUGGUGAAGGUAGUGGAACCGUUUAGACAGCCAGGACGUUGGCUUAGAAGCAGCCAUCGUUUAAAGAAAGCGUAAUAGCUCACUGGUCUAAUGGCUCUGCGCCGAAAAUGUAACGGGGCUAAGCAUGGUACCGAAGCUUUGGCAAUCUCCUUUGGAGAUUGGGUAGGGGAGCGUUCGCUGCGGGCUGAAGGUGUGCCGGAAGGCAUGCUGGACUGCAGUGAAGUGAUUAUGCUGACAUGAGUAACGAUAAAAUAUGUGAAAAACAUAUUCGCCGAAAACCCGAGGUUUCCUGGGUAAAGGUAAUCUUCCCAGGGUUAGUCGGAUCCUAAGGUGAGGGUGAAAGCCGUAACCGAUGGAAAACAGGUUAAUAUUCCUGUACUUGUUGUGUAGCGCGAUGGAGGGACGCAGGAAGAUAGGCGGGCCGGGUGUUGGAUAUCCCGGUGCAAGCGUGUAGGAAUAUCCGGUAGGCAAAUCCGCCGGACGAAUCUGAGACGCGAGUCCGUGGGCGCAAGCCCUGAAGCCGUUGAGUCUAUGCUGCCUAGAAAAGCUCCUAAGUUUAUCCACAGCAAUCCGUACCGCAAACCAACUCAGGUGGGUGGGAUGAACAAUCCAAGGCGCUCGAGAGAACUCUGGCCAAGGAACUCGGCAAAAUGACCCCGUAACUUCGGAAGAAGGGGUGCUCUCUAGGGUGACAUGUUUAACAUAUGAAGCCCCGGGGAGCCGCAGUGAAUUGGUGGUGGCGACUGUUUACUAAAAACAUAGGUCUGUGCGAAGUCCUAAAGACGACGUAUACGGACUGACGCCUGCCCGGUGCUGGAAGGUUAAAAGGAGGGGUCAGCGCAAGCAAAGCUCCGAAUUGAAGCCCCAGUAAACGGCGGCCGUAACUAUAACGGUCCUAAGGUAGCGAAAUUCCUUGUCGGGUAAGUUCC
RNAcentral lists this ribosomal RNA (1172 nucleotides) under human gut metagenome. RNAcentral describes it as "bacterial LSU rRNA". It matches the Rfam family "Bacterial large subunit ribosomal RNA", at positions 821 to 1984 of the family's 2925-position model. The record is from RNAcentral.